RNAcentral lists this ribosomal RNA (253 nucleotides) under uncultured bacterium. RNAcentral's name for it is "partial 16S ribosomal RNA". It matches the Rfam family "Bacterial small subunit ribosomal RNA", at positions 524 to 776 of the family's 1533-position model. The record is from RNAcentral.
UACGGGGGGGGCAAGCGUUGUUCGGAAUUACUGGGCGUAAAGGGCGCGUAGGCGGCCUGCUAAGUCGGAUGUGAAAUCCCUCGGCUCAACCGGGGAACUGCAUCCGAUACUGGUGGGCUUGAAUCCGGGAGAGGGAUGUGGAAUUCCAGGUGUAGCGGUGAAAUGCGUAGAUAUCUGGAGGAACACCGGUGGCGAAGGCGGCAUCCUGGACCGGUAUUGACGCUGAGGCGCGAAAGCCAGGGGAGCAAACGGG